ACAACUUUCAACAACGGAUCUNUUGGCUCUCGCAUCGAUGAAGAACGCAGCGAAAUGCGAUAAGUAGUGUGAAUUGCAGAAUUCAGUGAAUCAUCGAAUCUUUGAACGCACCUUGCGCUCCUUGGUAUUCCGAGGAGCAUGCCUGUUUGAGUGUCAUUAAUAUAU
Molecule: ribosomal RNA, 165 nt
Filed under: Protoglossum violaceum
Lineage: Eukaryota; Fungi; Basidiomycota; Agaricomycetes; Agaricales; Cortinariaceae
Description: 5.8S ribosomal RNA
Rfam family: 5.8S ribosomal RNA
About the family: 5.8S ribosomal RNA (5.8S rRNA) is a component of the large subunit of the eukaryotic ribosome. It is transcribed by RNA polymerase I as part of the 45S precursor that also contains 18S and 28S rRNA.
Source: RNAcentral